Molecule: RNA transcript, 2030 nt
Organism: Harpegnathos saltator (Jerdon's jumping ant)
Lineage: Eukaryota; Metazoa; Arthropoda; Insecta; Hymenoptera; Formicidae
Exons: 10
Source: RefSeq, a predicted model, not a curated record
UGGGGGCUAUCUUUUAGAUGGUGUUAAAACACUGUUCAGAAUUUUCCCAUAAGAGUUUAUCAAGCCUGAGUAAAGUGUGAAAAUGACUGGUGUUGCAAAAAAAAUGUGAUUCUAUUAGGAAAAAUAUAAGAGAAGAGAAUAAUAUAAAAAAAAUAUGAAAAUGACGAAAGAGUUAAAGAAGAGAGAGUUUGCACUUGUGGAAUUUAAUGAUUUAUAUGGCGAAUCUGAGAUACUAAUAGGAGUAAUUCCUUCUAAAUGGCUCUUUGAUAACAGUACUAUGUGCAAAUAUCCACCUAAAAAAGAUAAACUUAAAACUACCCGUUUGAUUCUGUCAAGAAUCGACCCAGGACAAGAUUGGGAUAUUUAUAAUCUUCGAUUGCAUCAUUAUUAUAAUACUUACAAUGCUGCUCUCAAAGCGGCUAAAACUGUUCUAGAGGGAGAAGUUGCUCGGACAGAUGUGGAAACAGAUUAUGACCAACCAAGAAAGAAAAAAAGAACAAAAAAUAUAUAUCCUCUUCAGAAGAUGAAGAAUUAGACAAUCCUGCAUUACAUAUCCCUCGUGGUACAAGCAGUGAAAGAGUACCUGCUCCAAAUUCUCUUCCAAAUAAAUUCAAAGAACUUAUUAAAAAUAAAUCAGUGAAAAUAUCUACUAAACAGUCAAUAGAAAAAGACACAUCUAUAGGAAAAUCAUUAUCUUGUAAUGAAUCAAGUGUUAAGUCAUCAGGCCAUUUAAAGUUAACUUACCAUAACAUUACAUUAGAGGAAAAUCCGAUAAAGCAGCAUUCUUUACUAAAUGAGAGUCCUGUCGACAAAACACGAGCCUAAUGAGGACACAGAUGGCUAUGGUUUUGAUAUGGAGAUCUGAUCGAAAUUGGCGUCAAUCUGCGCGCAUUCUGCUAGCAUUUUGCUUACUGGGUUGUAAUACAGAAGUAUCGGACAAAGUGAUCGUAGAACCACUGCAGUCAAACAAGACAAAACCUCUUAGAAAAUUGCAUAGCAUCUCUCAACAUUUAGAUAAAGAGAACUAUCUUAAUUUUCCUAAUACUUCUCCAAAGUACUUGUCUCCUCAAUUGAGUACAGAUGAUGAUGAACAACCUACUACAUCAAGAUCAAAUAGUUCUACAAUGUCCAUGAGCACACUGCCUGUACAUAUGGAGCAGAAUCUCUUUAGGAGGAAACUAAAUGCUUCCCCAAAUAACAAAGCAAAGUCAUCUCUCUUUGAUGAAUAUGAUAGGAACAAUGAACAUAAAAAAAAUUUAUCUGAUACAAUGAACUGCGAAACUCUACAAGAUGAAAAUGAAGAUGAUGUUUUACAAAAAAAAAAAAAAGACUUUAAUGUCAGUAGAUAAUGAGAAAAAUCAAGCAUCUCCAAAUUCACCACAUCCCAAGGUUUAUCAAAUACAGAAUGCGAUUUACUGACAACAACAUUAAACCAUUUUAAGAAGCUUCAUGGACCGGUCGUAUCUAAUCUUGAUAGAGAUUUGCUUCGAGAUAUAUCAAGUAAACUGGAUAUAUUGCUGAUGAUCGAACGUUGCAUCUUAAAUGAAAUAUUUCCUGGUGAAGCUAUUGUAGAAGAACCCGAAAAUUGUCCUCCUCUUCCACUACGAGAUGAGAAGUCAUUUGAAGAAUUUCAGAGUUCAACGAACUUUUGAAGAAUAAAAUUGCGUACUCUCAGUUUGUCAGCUAUCUACAUGCACAUAUUGUUGAUGGUCCUGAUGAAUGGAGUGCUGCUACUUCUCUUAUGUCCAUCAUAUUGCACAAUGAUCUUGCAAGACUAAUUAGCUGGAAAGGAACUGGAGGAGUGAAAAUCUCUUUCUAUGCAACACAGAUUAAGGAGGCUUUGUUUUGUGCCAUAAUGAGCCGUUUUCAAAAUCAAUCGUUGAAGCAUACUGAAGAUUCCAUAAAGCGCUGGUUGAAUACUUCUGGCCAACGUAAAUAAAGAAAUCAACAUAAUUUUUCGUAUAUUUUCUUUGAAAUUAAGUGUUAUUAUCUACAAUAUCAGGUAUAGUAAAAAGAAAUCCAUUAUUUUU